Molecule: ribosomal RNA, 209 nt
Filed under: uncultured bacterium
Lineage: Bacteria
Description: partial 16S ribosomal RNA
Rfam family: Bacterial small subunit ribosomal RNA
Source: RNAcentral
CGUGUAGGUGGCUUGAUACGUCUGUCGUUGAAAUCCCCCGGCUCAACCGGGAACGUGGCGCGGAUACGGUCAGGCUUGAGGGGGGUAGGGGGAGUCGGGAACUUCCGGUGGAGCGGUGAAAUGCGUUGAGAUCGGAAGGAACGCCCGUGGCGAAAGCGCGGUCCUGGACCUUUCCUGACACUGAGACGCGAAAGCUAGGGGAGCAAACG